This is a non-coding RNA of Podarcis muralis (Common wall lizard), 1416 nucleotides long. The record is from RefSeq and is a predicted model, not a curated record. NCBI's taxonomy places the organism in Eukaryota, Metazoa, Chordata, Lepidosauria, Squamata, Lacertidae.
AUCAACAUCCUGUUUGGCUUUCCAGCCAUCUGGAGCUCGCUUCUGCAUUGCUCCUUUUUCGUAACAGAGACAUGGGGAAAACCCUUCUUAGCCCUGCCUCUAUAGAUCAUUGUCCGUUAAACGAGAUGAGGUGAAGAUUCAGGUUCCUGAAGCUUUGCAGUAGGGUGGAAUGUUGUGGAUUGAGGACCCUGAGCUGGCAGAGAUGAUGAGCACCUAGAAGAUCUUCCUGCUUUCAUUAGAAAUUCAGUCCUAUCCAAUAGGCCACCUGUGAGCACCAUGCUUACGCCACAGAGGAAUAGAGCAAUAGUAAGAGCUGGGUUUGAUGGCUUAUGAAGGGUGGUUUACAUCUAGGUCUGCCAUGUGGCCGCCAGUUUCCAGAACUGUUGAUGGGAUCACAGUUUCUGGAACAAAUGGUGCUUAGAAGUCCUCCUCUUAAGGGGCUUUGGCAAAGGUCUCUGCAUAGGAUUCCUCCCAUGGAGGUGUCCUGAAUCCCUGCUUCUCUCAGAGAUAAGAAACCUCAGGCCUUGGGGCCACACUCUUUCCAUAACACCAUGUAGGAUCAUAGAGAGCUAGAGAGUUAUAUUGAGUUAGUCCAUUGGUCCACCUGCCCCAGUGGACCAGGGGUAGAUGGACUUCAACCUUGUGGGAGCUACUUACCACCACCACCAUGACCCCAAAUACCUCCCUGAGGUCCAUCAUCUAGCCCCAAGUGUAAAAUAGAAGAAGGGGCAGAUAUGCAUGGUCAUUUGUGUAUCUCAGCCAAGAUUGCUAUCCUUGCACAAAAAAAUCCAUUUCUGGGUUCCCCUCUCUGUCGUAGCAAAGAUGGGGGUAGUGAGUUGUUGCUGAAAAGGAAGAGUCAGAAAUGCUUCCUGAUCUUCUGCAAAUGUGAGUGUUUGUGUCAAGGUUUAUUCACAGGAAUAUUCACAGCAGCGCAGACCUUUGUCCCCCAUGGCAAAAUCUGUAGAUCCAGUACUGCAACAGCUCCCAUUGUUCCUGACCAUUGACCAUGCUGGCAGUGGCUGAUGGUCCAACACCAUCUGCAAGAAUAAACAAUUAGGAGAAGAUAAGAUGGAGCAACAGUCUAUGGAUGUGUGCUUAUGAAUUUAGCUGUUGGGAGCAAAACACCCAGUUGUAUGGAAAUGUUUGCCAUGAGGAUAUUCACAUGAAACUGAGCCUCCUCCUUUUUUGUUUUGAAAAAGUUCAACGUGCGUUAGGCAUCCAAGUCAUCAUGUAAACAGUAGCACUCCAAAUCCAGAAAAAGCUUUUUUGCAUGAAUCGCCCGUGGCUUCUUGUGCGCCUGGGAGAGAGGUAUGUGCCACAAACAAUAGUGAAGAGAAGACAUCUGUCCAUAUUUCUUUUAUGCCAAUGAAUAUUAAAAUCCCAUUUAGCACUGGUAUCCUGUUAUAUAGUAUAGUG